RNAcentral lists this ribosomal RNA (253 nucleotides) under uncultured bacterium. RNAcentral describes it as "partial 16S ribosomal RNA". It matches the Rfam family "Bacterial small subunit ribosomal RNA", at positions 524 to 776 of the family's 1533-position model. The record is from RNAcentral.
UACAGAGGGGGCAAGCGUUGUUCGGAAUUACUGGGCGUAAAGGGCGCGUAGGCGGCCCGCUAAGUCGAACGUGAAAUCCCCAGGCUCAACCUGGGAACUGCGUCCGAUACUGGCAGGCUUGAAUCCGGGAGAGGGAUGUGGAAUUCCAGGUGUAGCGGUGAAAUGCGUAGAUAUCCAGAGGAACACCAGUGGCGAAGGCGGCCUACUGGGCUCCACCUGACACUGAGGCGCGAAAGCGUGGGGAGCGAACCGG